RNAcentral lists this ribosomal RNA (253 nucleotides) under uncultured bacterium. RNAcentral describes it as "partial 16S ribosomal RNA". It matches the Rfam family "Bacterial small subunit ribosomal RNA", at positions 524 to 776 of the family's 1533-position model. The record is from RNAcentral.
UACGUAGGGGGCAAGCGUUAUCCGGAUUUGCUGGGUGUAAAGGGGGCGCAGACGGCAGCGCAAGCCAGGAGUGAAAGCCCGGGGCCCAACCCCGGGACUGCUCUUGGAACUGCGCGGCUGGAGUGCAGGAGGGGCAGGCGGAAUUCCUGGUGUAGCGGUGAAAUGCGUAGAUAUUAGGAAGAACACCAGUGGCGAAGGCGGCUUUCUGGACUGAAACUGACGCUGAGGCUCGAAAGCGUGGGGAGCGAACAGG